AGAGAGUCUUCCGUUCCCUGAUGGCGAAGAAGUCAGCCCUGAAAUCAAAGUAGAAACUCUACCAGAGGAGCCUACAGCCACUCCUCCAGAAGUAGAGCCCUGGUACGAUGAUUACUACGAAUAUGGAAGGAAGGGGAAAGAAGACGAGACGGACGACAAAUGGCAUCAGAAGGAGAGAGAGAGAGCAGAAAAAGAGAGGGCGAGGGAAGAGAGAGGUAAGGAAACCCAGAUGUGACUUUUGUUUUUCUUUCUUUCUCUUACGUAACAUCGCUCUGCAC
This 278-nucleotide long non-coding RNA is filed under the name Sander lucioperca (pikeperch). RNAcentral describes it as "lncRNA (ENSSLUG00000025197.1)". Lineage: Eukaryota; Metazoa; Chordata; Actinopteri; Perciformes; Percidae. The record is from RNAcentral.